GUGCUUACACCGGGAGAUGGUGUUCCUGUUGCAGACGGUAGAUUUGUGGUUACUACUGGAGAUGGUCCUCCAGUUGCAGAAGGUAGACCAGUGCUUACACCUGGAGAUG
Mytilus californianus (California mussel) is the source of this 109-nucleotide long non-coding RNA. RefSeq lists it as uncharacterized. The record is from RefSeq and is a predicted model, not a curated record. The transcript has 3 exons. Lineage: Eukaryota; Metazoa; Mollusca; Bivalvia; Mytilida; Mytilidae.